RNAcentral lists this ribosomal RNA (427 nucleotides) under uncultured bacterium. Its description in RNAcentral is "partial 16S ribosomal RNA". It matches the Rfam family "Bacterial small subunit ribosomal RNA", at positions 355 to 774 of the family's 1533-position model. The record is from RNAcentral.
UGGGGAAUAUUGCACAAUGGGCGCAAGCCUGAUGCAGCCAUGCCGCGUGUAUGAAGAAGGCCUUCGGGUUGUAAAGUACUUUCAGCGAGGAGGAAGGCGUUGUGGUUAAUAACCGCAACGAUUGACGUUACUCGCAGAAGAAGCACCGGCUAACUCCGUGCCAGCAGCCGCGGUAAUACGGAGGGUGCAAGCGUUAAUCGGAAUUACUGGGCGUAAAGCGCACGCAGGCGGUCUGUCAAGUCGGAUGUGAAAUCCCCGGGCUCAACCUGGGAACUGCAUCCGAAACUGGCAGGCUAGAGUCUUGUAGAGGGGGGUAGAAUUCCAGGUGUAGCGGUGAAAUGCGUAGAGAUCUGGAGGAAUACCGGUGGCGAAGGCGGCCCCCUGGACAAAGACUGACGCUCAGGUGCGAAAGCGUGGGGAUCAAACA